GACGAACGCUGGCGGCGUGCUUAACACAUGCAAGUCGAACGGACGGGCCCUGCUUUUGUGUGUUUCUUGUUUGCGGAAGGGGGGUGAAUCACGUGUGUAUCCUCCCCUUAUCUUUCGGAUAUCUUUUGGAAACUGGGGCUAUAACCGCGUAGGAUCUCUUGCUCCAUGUUGUUGAUUGGAAAGUUUCGGCGGUUGUGGAUGGACUCGCGGCUUCUCCGCUGGUUGGUGGGGUAGUGACUUACAAAGGUUUCGACGGGUAGCCGGCCUGAGAGGGUGACCGGCCACAUUGGGACUGAGAUACGGCGCAGAAGCCUACGGGAGGCAACAGUGGGGAAUAUUGCACAAUGGGCGGAAGCCUGAUGCAGAAACGCUGCGUGCGGGAUGACGGCCUUCGGGUUGUAAACCGAUGUCGACUGUGACGAAGAGUGAGUGACGGUAAUGGGUAAAGAAGCACCGGCUAACUACGUG
RNAcentral lists this ribosomal RNA (468 nucleotides) under uncultured bacterium. Its description in RNAcentral is "partial 16S ribosomal RNA". It matches the Rfam family "Bacterial small subunit ribosomal RNA", at positions 28 to 507 of the family's 1533-position model. The record is from RNAcentral.